GACGAACGCUGGCGGCGUGCUUAACACAUGCAAGUCGAACGGAAAAGCCCUGCUUUUGUGGGGUGCUCGAGUGGCGAACGGGUGAGUAACACGUGAGUAACCUGCCCUUGACUUUGGGAUAACUUCAGGAAACUGGGGCUAAUACCGGAUAGGAGCUCCUGCUGCAUGGUGGGGGUUGGAAAGUUUCGGCGGUUGGGGAUGGACUCGCGGCUUAUCAGCUUGUUGGUGGGGUAGUGGCUUACCAAGGCUUUGACGGGUAGCCGGCCUGAGAGGGUGACCGGCCACAUUGGGACUGAGAUACGGCCCAGACUCCUACGGGAGGCAGCAGUGGGGAAUAUUGCACAAUGGGCGGAGGCCUGAUGCGGCAACGCCGCGUGCGGGAUGACGGCCUUCGGGUUGUAAACCGCUUUCGCCUGUGACGAAGCGUGAGUGACGGUAAUGGGUAAAGAAGCACCGGCUAACUACGUG
This 468-nucleotide ribosomal RNA is filed under the name uncultured bacterium. RNAcentral describes it as "partial 16S ribosomal RNA". It matches the Rfam family "Bacterial small subunit ribosomal RNA", at positions 28 to 507 of the family's 1533-position model. The record is from RNAcentral.